AGUGAUCCUUAUGGCCGUUUGAAGGCCACUUUAUUGUUAUUAGCGAGCUCCACGCUGCCAUCUCCAACCUUGCCCUUGCUCUCUGGCAAUACAGCCAGACAAACAGGAAGCAGCUGUUGCCAAGGAACCAGCCUGAAGUACCACACUCGGGCAUACACUUGAAUGAGGACCACACAGGUGUCAGACCUCCGGGGUGAUGCUAUCAGACCUCCACUGACGUUUCAUGGGAAGGAAGAGCUAAAUGGUACGACAAAAGGAGCGGAGGUUUACAAAAGGGUUUCAAAGUGAAGGAACAAAGGCAGCUAAGCACGGUGACAGCCAUGCGGACAGCUGGGACUCGCGGCCGCAUCGCUCGGUAUCGUUCAACGUGAGACACUUGUCAAGACUCAAGGGGGCCCAUUGAUGCCAUGACGGACUGGUGGAGCGUGAAGGUAUUCAACUUGUGCUGUGCAAU
This is a long non-coding RNA of Syngnathoides biaculeatus (alligator pipefish), 454 nucleotides long. RefSeq lists it as uncharacterized. Lineage: Eukaryota; Metazoa; Chordata; Actinopteri; Syngnathiformes; Syngnathidae. The record is from RefSeq and is a predicted model, not a curated record. The transcript has 3 exons.